CAAAGAGUUGUCAAGGAAAUGAAAAUCUUAAGAACCGAACAAAGUUUGAAUCUUUGUUUCAAACCACUUUAUAUGUUGGAUCAAUCUGAUUUGAAAGUUUGUUACCUCAAUGCAAGAUCUCUGCAUAAACACAUUGAAGAUGUUCGAAAAGAUAUUAAUUACUCGUCUAUGGAUAUUGUGAUAUUUACUGAAACAAGGUUUAACUCCUCGGACACUGACGAUAUAUACAACAUUGAUGGCUACAGGUUGUUCAGAAAUGAUGUUUCCCAAGGUACGGGUCCAGGACGUCCAUACGGUGGAACUGCUGUUUAUAGCCGAGUCCCUUUAAAAGAAGGAUACCCUUAUACUCACAACGUCAAUGGAAUCGAGUUCACAAUUAUUAAAACAGAAAGUAAUCCGCAUUUGAAUAUAAUUGGAGUAUAUCGUUCACCCAAUAUUGCUAUAUCACGUCUACUGUCUUCACUACGUAGCGUACUUGAUGAAGAUUCUUCUGCACAAAACAUUAUAAUUGGAGAUUUCAAUGUCAACUGGAUGGUAGAAUCUGAUCGACAGUCACUCUACAAUUUGAUGGUUGUACAAAAUCAUUACAGGCAACUGAUAGCAGGCUUUACAACCGACAACAGAACGUUAAUUGAUCAUUUAUACACAAAUUUAAUUGAAGAGGAAAUUGAAGCUGGUAUUCUAGAAACAUACUUUAGUGAUCAUAAAGCAAUAUGGGCUUCUCUUAGGACAUAGAAAUAAUAAUUAUAUACCGUUCAAUUAGGUAUUGCAAAGAUAGCAAGCCAUUGUGCCACUGCAUGCGAAUGUUAUUAAGGCAAGCCAUUCCGCCACUGCCAAUGUUAUUAAGGCAAGCCAUUGCGCCACUCCCAGUGUUAUUAACGCAAGCCGCUGUGCCACUGUCAAUGUUAUAAAAUUAAGUCAUUGUGUGGACGAUGGCUAUACAUUUAGGUAAGUUUUCUUUUUAUCUCUUUCCCCCUCUCCCUUCCAUGUAUUUUUGUGUUUAAUUGGGUUUUUUCUUUUUUAGAUAUCUCUAUACAUUAAUCAUGGUCACUUUAAUGAUAACUUCAGUCAACAAAAGUACUCAAAAUAGAUACUUGGUAUGUUGCUACGUCUUAUUACCACAUCUAGUCAUAUCACCAACAAAGCUCCGACUGUAUGGCUUAUCCACGUUACGUUAAUUGCAUUCACUAAUACUGUUGCAUUAAUGUUUACAGAUAUACCAAAGAUGUACUAUACAAGAAUACUGACAACAUUGGUGGAUAAAUUAUAUUGAAUGAUAUCAUCUUAUGUCAAUUAAUAUGCGAAAAUGAAACAAUUCAUUUCAGCUACCAAUUGCUUCAACGAAAUCGCACGUACAAAGAAAACGUCUACAGUUGUGUUCGUUAUGUAUUCUGAAAAUUCAUUGUGGAAGACAUGAAAAUUAAGAAAGAUGCACAGUACUUCAAGAUACAACUUGGAUAUUUGUUGUAAGGCACAUUGCACCUGGCUCUGAUACCAAAACAUGUUAAUUAAAGCGAAAAGCUGCUCAACGAAGUCGCACAUACAGUACAAAGAAAAGCUAAAACUUGAUAAUUAAGAAAGAUGCACAGUACUUGAAGAAGUACUUUGUUGUAUGGUACAUUGCACCUGUUCAAAUAGUCAGAAUCGAGCCCAAAAUGGUCAGUAACAACGGGAAUUAUAAAUAACGAACAUUCAGCUAGUGAAAACUAAAAGACCAGUCACUUUUCUAUGACAAUAGAACACGUAUUAUUGCGUAUUACAGUGCAUGUUCUACCCUGUUUAAGUUUGAAGAUGUUGAUUAUGAUGCAUAUCAAGUCCAUUGCUCGUAUAACAGACUUAUA
This is a non-coding RNA of Paramuricea clavata, 1841 nucleotides long. NCBI's taxonomy places the organism in Eukaryota, Metazoa, Cnidaria, Anthozoa, Malacalcyonacea, Plexauridae. The record is from the annotation of a GenBank genome assembly.